UCUUUUGAUAUUUUAUUUUAAAUUUACCAUAAAAUGUAUUUGGUUUGAUCUAGCUUGUGAAGAAGGGUUUGAUUCUUGAUGUUUCCCUUUAAGUUUUAAUCCCAAUUUUUUAACACACUUAGGCACAUGUAUAAAGGACCUUUGAGUGUUAAUUUGAUGGCUUGAUCAUUCAUUUUGGUUUAUGUUUGAAUUUAUUUUUGAUACCUAACUUGUAUGGUCAAUAGUGGUUUGUCAUGCUUGAUGUUUGAAACCAUUUUGAACUUGUUCUUGAGCCAAUCUUUUGGGAAUUUUUAGGCACAUAUAUGAUUAGGGUUUGAGUGUGUAUUUUAGGUCCUUU
This 337-nucleotide long non-coding RNA is filed under the name Lathyrus oleraceus (garden pea). Its description in RNAcentral is "Pisum sativum (pea) long non-coding RNA (PSAT_LNC019103)". Lineage: Eukaryota; Viridiplantae; Streptophyta; Magnoliopsida; Fabales; Fabaceae. The record is from RNAcentral.